UAGUAGUGUAACCAAAAAAAUAUAUCAUUUAAUUUUUAAAUAAAGAAUACAAUAAAAAGAAAGACAUCGUACAUCUUAAAGAAAUAAAAACAUAAAUUGCAGUUGUGAUUCAAAACAUAUUUUUUGAAUUAGUUUUUUCAUCGGUCAUCUAUGUCAAUCGAGGAAACAAAUGGUAUUUAAAAAAAAAGUGACGUAUUCAAAAUAUGUCUCAAUUAUUUAUUGAUUGAGGUGAAAGCUUUGUCCUAUAAUAUAUUAUUUAUAGGAGUGUAAUGACCUUUCUUUUCUUUUCCUUGUCUAAAUUAUUACACGAAAAGGCAAGAAAAUCCAACUACUCAAUGUAAAAGGAGUUUUAAAUAAUGUCUUAAUCGAGCUAGUGGACCUUCCCUUGAAAUAACGUGGUAACUACUCUAGUGGUUCCAAAUUAACAUGAUCAACUUUUUAUUUGUUCAAAGACAAUAUAUACUGCUAUUGAAAAGAACUAAGAUUAAUAGAUUUUCAGAUUUCACAUGUAUGAUAAAACAUAAAGUCAUGGAUAGGGACACAAGUUAAUAAUUGAAUCUUCAAUGCUUCGCUUUUAUGCAAAGGUACAUGAACAAUAAGAUAUUUGAGAAAUUGAUAUGUUGAUGAAUAAUACAAUUAGUGGAUGAGAAUGUCUUAUUUUUAACAUCAUAUACAUAUUCAUUAUUAUUUUUUUGUUGUUCUUGUAUAUGAUGUUAUCUAACUGAAAUUCGUGUAUUAUUUUUCAUAUAAAUAGAUGAAAAAGGGUGCAACGAUGAUGUUGACGCUAAUAUAACUGAAUAAAGCAUUGAUUUAGUUUAUGCUAAAUUAAUGAAAUUAGUGUUAAAGUCAUUACCGACACUAAAUUAAUGAAAAAAGAGACAAAUAAAAAAUGCAGUUUACAAAGACUUUUAUAAAUAAAAAACAAAUUCACUUGCAAAUUCAAAAUCUGUCUUAUAAUUACACAUUAAGGAAAAGAAACAUUCUAAACAAAUAUGAAGGAAAAGAAACAUCCUAAUCAAAAGUAAACGAGAAAAGAAUCUGAAGAAGAGGUUGAAGAAGAACCAAAACGAAAAUUCCUACUUCUGAGAUCUUCAAAACUCAUACCAUUUCGUGACAGAAAGUGCGCCAUCGCUCUUGUCAGCACAGCCGUGUACUCUUUUAAUAUCUCUGUCAUAAUCGCCACCAUUAUCAUCUUUCUACCUUACAACUUCUUCUUCUUAUUCUUAUUAUUUUCAAGACAUCAACAACUUUCUUAUAUAUCGAUAAAAGAGAGUGUAAAGGGUAUUAUGGUAAGGGUCCUAUAAAUAAUAGGACUCUUUUUGUAUCUCAUGAGUUUCCUAGUUACUAGUUAUUAACAAUUUGUGACACCACAAAAACAUAAUAAUAUAACAGGUUGACAAAAAGGAAUAAAAUUCUGGAACUUUCUGGUGUGUACAGUGGUGGGCUUUUUAGGAAAAAAUGAAGGACGGUUUUUGUUUUUGUAUGACAUUAAUAUAGUGUGGUCUAAUCAUAUGUCUUUUGAAUAGAUUGGGAGGAUUUGGUUAAAUUGAGUAAUUUGUUUUUGAAGUGUGAUCUUAUCGGCUCAUGUUUUCUGUCCUACACAUGGGGUUGGCAGAAUUGAAAUGGUGACAUAGCUAAUUCAAGAUUAUUGACUUAUUUGUGGUGCUAGAAAUUAGUUGAUCUAAAAGAGUACUUCCCCCUAAAAGGAAUGUAAAUCAAAAUUUGUCUGCUGCAACUAUAGAUAGAGCAUUUUUUAAAUCAAAAAGUGAAUUUGUUCAAAGUGUCCUCAGGUCAAAUAAUUAGACUCUACUAUAUAUUGUUUGCUUUGAGUGUUAAAAUGUGGGAUGAGUUUUUCUUAAACAACAUUUUAUUGUAUUGUUGAGUGACAAUCGUUGUAUAUAAAUUACUAUUGCCCUUAAUUUUUAAGUAAUAUGAGAUUCUUUAGUGUAUCGAAAUAAUUGCCCUCAAUCAAGACUAAAGUGUUAAAGAAGCGAAAUCUCGGAUAUGGUUAGUGGUUCAACCCUUUUAUCAUCGGUUAAUUCUCCGAUCAAUCUGGAGUCUACUUACCACAGCAUCAACGAGCUAUUAUCCAUGGGAACAUGUAGUGAUAGUCUCUUGAAAUCACUAUUACAAAUCAUAUUCUUUAUCAUAAAACUUUCAUUUCAAUCUAUCAAUAACUGAUGUAUAUGUCCUUGAAGUACAAUUAUUUUUUAAAAAUAUAUAUAUAACCUAUAUCCCCGAUUAUCACCGAAAUCGAGAGGAUAUAAUUACGAGCGAGCUCGUUUCGAGUUCCCGUUAUUGUAUUUUAUGUUUUACUUGAUUUGAUCCUUUAACUCUCCAAACAGCUUCACAUUAGAGUUUUUGUUUUAGGUUUAUUAGUCAAAAUCAGAAUCAGGAUCCAAUUGACAUAGAUGUGAUGCUGAUAUCAAUAAAACAUUAUAAAUAAAAAAGGGAACUAGAUUCUUU
RNAcentral lists this long non-coding RNA (2466 nucleotides) under Lathyrus oleraceus (garden pea). Its description in RNAcentral is "Pisum sativum (pea) long non-coding RNA (PSAT_LNC005084)". The record is from RNAcentral. Lineage: Eukaryota; Viridiplantae; Streptophyta; Magnoliopsida; Fabales; Fabaceae.